Long non-coding RNA from Megalobrama amblycephala (Wuchang bream), 882 nucleotides. RefSeq lists it as uncharacterized. The record is from RefSeq and is a predicted model, not a curated record. Lineage: Eukaryota; Metazoa; Chordata; Actinopteri; Cypriniformes; Xenocyprididae. The transcript has 2 exons.
AUGGUAAGCCUAUUACACGUGUUUAUAUUUUUGACCUGACGGGACGGUUUUCCCGGGUAACUGAAUACGUAUGGGCCUACGUCAAUCGCCCGUGAGUGUCUCGUCAUAUCCGUAAACAGAAAAAAGUUGCUCCGGCUACUUUGACUUGCUUGGUAUGGGAGCGGCAUAGGUUAGUUGUUAAAACGAGCGAGAAAAGUUGACAUGGAGCAGCUAAAUCUCCACCUUCCGGGGAAUUAUCCGUUUUUAACAAACGCCGAAAAGAGGAGAGUCUGCUGGCUGAAAGAGAAAGCGACAGAGCUCGUGAUCAGCUUGGCUUUUCGGAGAUUGCGAGAACUGACGGAUUUAAAAUGUUGUAGGCUAAAAGUGUGGCGGACAUUAAGUUUUUAUUACUCAACAGACAGCACUCGCUCAAACCCUCUGUGGUCCGGGGGGAGGAGCGGCCAGCUCUCCGAUUCAGCUUUUGACCACCAGAGAAGCAGAACUAAUGACAACAUUAGUCCGCUUUUGUGUACGAGGCCACCGGAUAUGGAUUAACCAAGCAAGAAAUAAUCUAGGAUUCUACAGUAUGCAUGAAUAAGCACAUGGGGUUUUUAAAUGUUUCGUUUUCGCCCCAAAAUGUGUUUUCCUUUUCUCUUUUUGGACGAGAUCCUGCGCUUUGUGGCUCUGAAGAUGAAGAGGAACUCAAGCAAGUGUGCUACUCAUUAAAUCGUUGAUUUGUUUAAUCUGCAGACCUCACACCAGACAGCUUUUCCUCAUGUGACCUUGUCUCUCUGUCUGUGUCUCUUUGUCUUUCUCAUAUAAAGAGGUUUUGAGCGAGUAUUUGACACUGGAACACAAAGCCUCCAGCCUGUGCUGUCUAACUAAAAUGACAUUGGUUUCUCU